UUGGGAAGAUCUACAUGGCGGAUCUUCAUUUUGUUGAUGAAAAUAAUCCAUAACCAAUCUAUAAAUGAAAAUCUGGGUGAGUUUAUUCUGAGCUUAAAUUUUAGGAUUAUAACCCGGGAGAGUCUUUCCACAAAGGAACAGAGCACUCCAAAGAAGUGGGGGUAUAAGGGUGGUUAUAUACCCUCAAAGAGGGUGUUUCACAUAGGAUUGAAAUGUCCCUCCCACAAUAGUCACAAGACUGCUCUGUCGGCACAGCCAUUGAUGAAAAUAGCAGGUAGGUCUUCUGUCUCAGUGAACACAGCAGGGUGGCAGCCUGUUGUCUCCAGCUGAGUGGUCACAGGUGAGCUGGGUGGUCAAAGAUUAGCCCUGAGCUAACUACUGCCAGUCCUCCUCUUUUUGCUGAGGAAGACCGGCCCUGAGCUAACAUCUGUGCCCAUCUUCCUCCUCUUUAUAUGUGGGAUGCCUACCACAGCAUGGCAUGCCAAGCGGUGCCAUGUCUGCACCAGGGAUCCAAACCGGCAAACCCCAGGCCACUGAGAAGUGAAUGUGCGAACUUAACCACUGCACCACCGGGCCAGCCCCUGGAGUUAAGAAAACCUUUUUCUCUAUUCUCUUAAAGAACUAUGACUUACAGCAAUUUAUAAACAAAAUUGAAACAUUCGUCUUUUCUUCACUACCUGAGCCCUCCAAAACGUAAAAACCCCUGAUGAGACACAAUUGGAAACACUGCUUAUAUUACCAAGGCUUUGACUGGAACAUCAUAUUUAAAAAAACAUACGGGCUUGGAUAUAACAAGACAGCUUUUGAGGAACGAAGGUUGACAUUCUGGAAUAAAGCCACUUGGAAAUAUUGGGCUGGUACUGUGCUUAUGGGUUCUGUAGCCUGAAAAACUUCUUAUUAAACACCUGGUUACUUACCUACAUGACACAGGCCUAACUUCAGGAGCCCACCAGCAUCACUGCCUUAUUAAAAGACUAGUUCAAUGAGAUGAAACAACCUAUGCCCCAUUUCAACAGGAAGUAGCUAUAUCAGUCACUGUCCCAAAUCCCUCAAGAUUGAGGCAUGGACAUAAAAUAGGGGAGAGUUGAUAUCAACCCUGAUAUCAGUUUCCCCACGUUAAACCCAGCAUAUAUGGGGUUAAAAACAAAACACUCAUUCCUAUCUUACUCUCUGGUUUCCUGGCUCCAGAAUCCACUAUCCUCCAUGGAGACAGACACCACCAAGGAGAGGCACCUGGAUUAUCUCCUCCCCACAAAGAGAUACAGGCUGGUGGGAAAGUUGCUGACCAUCAAGGUCAUGGGCUCCCUCCUCUCUGCAAGUGGUCUCAAGGCCAAAGACAGGCUAGGUGGGAAAGCUCUGACCAGCAAGGCCUUAUGCUCUCUCUUCCCUACCUAAAACCCCAAAUAAAAACCCUUCCUUUUAGCUUUUUGGGGAGUUUGGGAUUUCAGCAUUAGCUGCCCUCUCUCCUUGCUCAGUGCUGUGCAAAAAUAAAAUUUCUACUUUCUUCCACCACA
Molecule: long non-coding RNA, 1514 nt
Filed under: Equus caballus (horse)
Lineage: Eukaryota; Metazoa; Chordata; Mammalia; Perissodactyla; Equidae
Description: lncRNA (ENSECAG00000052032.1)
Source: RNAcentral